Molecule: long non-coding RNA, 225 nt
Filed under: Nicotiana benthamiana
Lineage: Eukaryota; Viridiplantae; Streptophyta; Magnoliopsida; Solanales; Solanaceae
Description: long non-coding RNA (NBEN_LNC025072)
Source: RNAcentral
UUUCAUUUUAAACGGAUCAACCCAAUUUCAAUUUAACUGACCCUUGACCCAACUAAAACCUAUCUGACCCAGACCCCCAUCUUAUCCUGGUCGUUGAUCUCUGAGAUCAAAGGCUCAUAUCCAGUCUUGCCCUUUUUAAUCCAAACAACUAUCCUAAUCCCCACAUUUUCUUAUCUAUCAGCCGCCUUUAAAACUCUCUCGAAUGUUCUCAAAACCCUAAUCGCC